RNAcentral lists this transfer RNA (71 nucleotides) under Cordylochernes scorpioides. Its description in RNAcentral is "tRNA-Cys". Lineage: Eukaryota; Metazoa; Arthropoda; Arachnida; Pseudoscorpiones; Chernetidae. The record is from RNAcentral.
UGCAUCGGCCGGGAAUCGAACCCGGACCGCUUGCGUUGCAGGUGAGCAUUCUACCACUGAACCACCGAUGC